RNAcentral lists this ribosomal RNA (340 nucleotides) under uncultured bacterium. Its description in RNAcentral is "bacterial SSU rRNA". It matches the Rfam family "Bacterial small subunit ribosomal RNA", at positions 8 to 349 of the family's 1533-position model. The record is from RNAcentral.
AGAGUUUGAUCCUGGCUCAGGAUGAACGCUGGCGGCGUGCCUAAUACAUGCAAGUCGAACGAAUCUCUUUUAGAGAUGAGUGGCGAACGGGUGAGUAAUACAUAGGUAACCUGCCCCUGUGCGGGGGAUAACAGGAGGAAACUCCUGCUAAUACCGCAUAGCCAUGAGCACCGCAUGGAGCUCAUGCCAAAUAUCCUUUCGGGGAUAGCGCAGGGGAUGGGACCUAUGGCGCAUUAGCUUGUUGGCGGGGCAACGGCCCACAAGGCAACGAUGCGUAGCCGGCCUGAGAGGGCGACGGCCACAUUGGGACUGAGACACGGCCCAGACUCCUACGGGAGCA